Molecule: long non-coding RNA, 606 nt
Filed under: Nicotiana tabacum (common tobacco)
Lineage: Eukaryota; Viridiplantae; Streptophyta; Magnoliopsida; Solanales; Solanaceae
Description: long non-coding RNA (NTAB_LNC001113)
Source: RNAcentral
AACCCCACUGUCCACGAUCUUCCUAACAGCAAAUACCUUCCCAAGAAUUACAACCCUGUUUCUUAUGUGACUGUCCCUGAGGACAACACUAAUGAAAAUGAUUUGAACAACAAUGAGUUUACAACCAAGCACACUACCACCACCACUGCCUCUAAUAACAACCAAUUCUACAGUGGUCCCACCACUUACGGCAACAACAACAACCAACAGUACUAUAAUGGCGUCAGCGAUUAUAGUACUAAGCGCAACAACCAGCAGCAGCAGCAACAGUUCUACAGCGGCGACAACUUUUACAGUAACAACCAGCAGCAGCAGCAGUACUACAACGGUGGCAACUCUUACAACAAUAACAACGACAACAACAACAAUGAAGAGGAGGAGGAGUACUACAACAACAAUGGUGGUAACACUUACUACAACAACAACGAGCAACAGGAGUUGAGCGAAACAAGAUUAAGUGCCAGAACUUACAGCACCAACCCAACAAAUUACGGAAACAAUUACAACAACAACAAUCAAGAACAGAGCUACUCCACCAACUACAAUAACUACAACACUGGCAAAAGUAAUUACAGGGUGCACCAGCAGCAGGGGAUGAGUGACACA